Molecule: ribosomal RNA, 253 nt
Filed under: uncultured bacterium
Lineage: Bacteria
Description: partial 16S ribosomal RNA
Rfam family: Bacterial small subunit ribosomal RNA
Source: RNAcentral
UACGAAGGGGACUAGCGUUAAUCGGAAUUACUGGGCGUAAAGCGUGCGCAGGCGGUUUUGUAAGACAGAGGUGAAAUCCCCGGGCUUAACCUGGGAACUGCCUUUGUGACUGCAAGGCUUGAGUGCGGCAGAGGGGGAUGGAAUUCCGCGUGUAGCAGUGAAAUGCGUAGAUAUGCGGAGGAACACCGAUGGCGAAGGCAAUCCCCUGGGCCUGCACUGACGCUCAUGCACGAAAGCGUGGGGAGCAAACGGG